This is a non-coding RNA of Dama dama (fallow deer), 2319 nucleotides long. NCBI's taxonomy places the organism in Eukaryota, Metazoa, Chordata, Mammalia, Artiodactyla, Cervidae. The record is from the annotation of a RefSeq genome assembly.
GGCUGCAGAACGUUCCUCUACUGAGGAUACUUGAGCAGGAUAAAUGGAGAGGAACACCUUGACAACCUCAUGGCUGAUCCUGUGGCUUCAUCUUGGCCGAGUGAGCAGCCUCUUGACUGUGGAACAGCGUCCUGCCUCGCUGGGGGUUCAGGAAGGAGAGAGCGCCAAUUUCACCUGCAGUUUCCCUUCCAGCUCUUUCUAUGCCUUACACUGGUACAGAUGGGAACCUGCAAAGGGCCCCAAGAACCUGUUUGUAGUGAGUGUAAAUGGGGAUGAAAAGAAGCGAGGACGAGUGAGAGUCACUCUGAACACUAAGGAGGGCGACAGCUCCAUGUACAUUGGAGGAUCCCAGCCUGAAGACUCAGCCACAUACCUCUGCGCCUCCACACAGUGCCCCUCAGCCCCCUGCAGCCCUCACCCAAACCCGGGCCUGCUGCUGCUCUGGGACCAGCGCUGAGGAAGAGCCACUGUCGGGAGGGAAAGGGAAAUUCAAUGAAUGACAGUGUUUGCAGUAAUCAGGGGGAAAUGCAGACACAGAUAAACAGGCAUUCCAGUCACUGUACCUCCCUCAACCAACUGGACUGUUCCUAAACAUCACUAAUCUCCACUACCACCACUAUACUGGCCAUAUCAUUGAUUCCAAUCCUAGCCUCCUCUUUUCCUGUGAUUCCAAGUAAACUAGACAGUUUUCAAACCUAUCUGAAAUAAUAUGGUUAUACCUGGGUAAUAGUUACCCUUCACUAUUGCUAUAUCCUAAGAGCUAGUCUUUAUGGUAUUUCUUUAUGUGCAUGAAUGUAAUAUGGGGAUACGCUGUGUCACACAUUUGGCAUGAAAGUCUGCAUGUUUUAUACCAGAGCAGUCAAUUCUGUCUCAUUUAACUCAUUGGAGAUUUUGAUUUUGCUUUAGUUCAAACUUCCCACUACAUGGACAUUUGUAUGUCAUUUCUUUACUAUGUGGCUGUUUGCAUUUUAAAAAAUCGCUUUGAUAUCUGGAAGAAGUAUUGAUAGGGGAAAUUCACUACUAAAAUUGGUCUUUCCCCCAGUUUAUAUUGUAACUGUGAUAAUGAAUAAGUAACUGAACUCCAGGAUCUGAGUUUCUUACUUAGUAAUUUCCAGGUAUAUGAAGCUGAUCAAUCAUCUGGUUCUGUGCUCAUUUUGCAGAUUCCCAAAUAGCCCACCAGUUUAAUAUCAUAUUGGGCUUCUCUGAUGGCUCAGACAGUAAAGAAUCUGCCCACAAUGCAGGAGAGCCGUGUUCGAUCCCUGGGUCAGGAAGAUCCUCUGGUGGAGGGAAUGGUUACCCAUUCCAACAUUCUUGCCUGGAUAGUUCUGUGGGCAGAGGAGCCUGGUGGGCUGUGGUCCAUGGGGUCACAAAGAGCUGGACGUGACUGAGUGACUAGCACUCUCACUUAAUGCCGCGUUGGUGCUUUGCUGCUGCUUAGUCACUUCAGGUGUGUGUGACUCUGUGCGACGCUAUGGACUGCAGCCUUCCAGGCUCCUCUGGCACAGGCUGCUAGUUCUGGGGUCUUUCUGGGGUUUGUCAGCAUGAAUUAAUUUGCUUCUGGGCUCUUCAUCUUAUAGCUUGUGUUUUCAGGUUUAUCCCCACCAUACACAUUAGUAAUUAAAAUCCAGCCUCUGUCCAGCCUCCUGAAGUAUGGUGCUAUUGUGCUCGCUCUCUUUCAUAAAUGUAUAUUUUAAAAAAUGUACUACUGUCACUAUGUUUAGGAAAGAUAAUAUAUAUUAUAAAAACCAUACUGGUUUGCAUACAAAUCCCUCAGACCGAAACUAUUUAAGAGACAUUCAUGUGAAAGAUUUCUUUCUCAAAGGUCAUUCACAAGGCAGCAAUGAAUCUAUUUGUCCAUCAGAUUGCAAAGGGUUGAAUCCGUUUUGUGAUAUGAAUGUGCAUAGAACUGGAAGGUAGAGCACAGAAGUGAGUGAGGUGAACCUGUAGUUCAUUGUACAGUAGUGUUGAUGGAAUAAAACAACAUGCCAAAAAAGAGCUGCUGGUCAACUUCCCAAACUGGGUCUUCAACAUGAUUGGCAUAAAGAUCAAUGGAAGAAAUUUCUAAUACUAUCAGUGAAGACCCUGAGUUUUAGCUGACUCUGAGUUGGUAGAAACAAAAAGCACACAGAAAAAGCAAGGACACAAUCUGUCUAUACUGUGUGUUGCUAAAACACAGUGCUUCAUGUAUUUUUCAUACCAAAGAACACAUAGAAAUUGAUUACAUUUGUACAGCCCUUCAAUAUAGAAUGCUGCUUGAAACUGACCUGUGAUUCCACAUUCCCUGGGUUCUUCCUCACCUUAGGAGGACUCCAACAUGAG